Molecule: long non-coding RNA, 614 nt
Organism: Perca fluviatilis (European perch)
Lineage: Eukaryota; Metazoa; Chordata; Actinopteri; Perciformes; Percidae
Exons: 4
Source: RefSeq, a predicted model, not a curated record
UUUUUUUUUACAUUUACAGGCCAUCCACAAACAUAAAAGAGGCGCUGUCAUUGGUUCAGACAUUCCCUGAAUGAUGGAUCAGAAAUUGGCUAUUUCCAGAGACUCCAGAAUGAAAACCAAGCUCUGAGGGAGGAGAACCACACCCUGAGGGAAAGCAAUGCACGAGCAGCUUCGGAUGACAGCGGCUCACUUCAAGAGCAGGUGAAGCAAGUUGGGACAAUGUUGAAGACGUUUGCUUGCACUUGGCAAUCAGGUGCAGAUCAGACCCUAAUGCUGCGACGUCUUGGAGAGUUUGGCGAUGUUGUGUGUAGCAUGGACAACAAAAUGGAAACUAUGCAGCAACAUUUCAGUGCCAAUGUGUCUGUUGGAGAGCCACUGAUGAGGCGGUCCAGGUUAACGUUACGCGUUACCUGAAAGCAUCUGACCGUGAAGGCGGAAAAAGGCGCCGCACAGCUGAGAGGGACCCACAGCCGACCCCUUAAACCUAGGCUGACUACUGACACCCCCGCAUCACUGACAACUGGAACACUUUCUUUAUCCUGCAGUCAGUAACAUCAAGAAGCCAGAAGUGCCAGACUACACUCACCCAAUCCACACUAUUCUCUGUGGAAAUU